Molecule: non-coding RNA, 69 nt
Organism: Rattus norvegicus (Norway rat)
Lineage: Eukaryota; Metazoa; Chordata; Mammalia; Rodentia; Muridae
Source: Rfam
GGGGAUUUAGCUCAGUGGUAGAGCGCUUGCUUAGCAAGUGCAAGGCCCUGGGUUCGGUCCCCAGCUCCA